Long non-coding RNA from Callorhinus ursinus (northern fur seal), 1112 nucleotides. RefSeq lists it as uncharacterized. The record is from RefSeq and is a predicted model, not a curated record. NCBI's taxonomy places the organism in Eukaryota, Metazoa, Chordata, Mammalia, Carnivora, Otariidae.
CCGUGCCGGGGCUGUAGGUUGGUUCCCCGCUCUCUGAGAGCUGCCUCCGUCCUUCGGGGGCGAAUCACUCGUAGGGCUCUAGAGGUUCGGUGACUCCGCGGAUCGCCACCUUCCCAGCUACAAACGCUGCAUUUUCGAGGGGUGUGACAGAAAGCAGCGGCGGAGACUGCUAGAGGAGCGAUUUCAGUCGGCCUUUAACCACCAGUUAGUGGUUUGUAGAAUCAGUUUAGCUGGUUUCUACCUGGAAGGGAUGCAGUUUUUGUUUUAUAUGCAGGAGAGUUGGAAAUUUCAGGCACAUCUCGGGUAGUCAGAAUGACAACAACAGCAAUUACAACAACAACAACAAAAUAAAAAGCCUGGUCCUCCUCUACUACAUUACCCGUCUCAAAUUGCAGAACACCAGCUACCUAGUCAAUUGCUGGACCCAGAAAAUCACUGAUUUGAGGGUGGAUACAAAUGGCAACUUGAACUCUCAGACAGCUACUGCAAUUCAAAUGAAGUGAAGUUGAAAUUUUAGCAAUACCGUGGAAACCAUAUUGGAAUAAGAGAGCAAGAUGGAGUCACUCACGUCAAGCAGUGACUCAUGUCAGCAGCCAAAGGCGUAGUAGCUAAGACCAGAUAUUGCUGAAACCAGCACAGAUGCCCAAAUGACGUCCAGAACUGAUAACCAGCAGAACCAGAAGAGGCCUGCAAAGGCCCAAGACUGAUUAAACUCCUUUGAGGACUUUCGCAGCAAACUGUCAGACUGCAGAUACUGAUCCUUUCACAUCUCACCACAUUGAAGAGACAACUGGUGCCAAAGGCUCUGCCUGAUUGAUCUCUGAACAUAAUAGAGAUCCUCCACUGCUAGAACAAAAUACACAGCACGCACUGAGAGCUGCCCUGGACUGGACUGAGGCCUCAUCUCAACUGUGCUCAUGGACUGACUUCAUGUUUGUUAUUAACUUCUCACCCUUUGUUGUAUGACUUUGUGUUGUGCUUUGCUUUGUUUAAUGUGUAUAAAACCAAGUUAAAUGUGUAACAAAAUGUCAUUGAGUUUGGAAUCCUGAACCUGCUUUGUAAUUAUGUUAGCCUUGCUUUAUGAUUAAUAAAACCAACAUUGUGGAAAGACA